This 379-nucleotide ribosomal RNA is filed under the name uncultured cyanobacterium. RNAcentral describes it as "SSU rRNA". It matches the Rfam family "Bacterial small subunit ribosomal RNA", at positions 376 to 770 of the family's 1533-position model. The record is from RNAcentral. Lineage: Bacteria; Bacillati; Cyanobacteriota.
CGAAAGCCUGACGGAGCAACGCCGCGUGAGGGAUGAAGGCCUCUGGGCUGUAAACUUCUUUUCUCAAGGAAGAAGAUCUGACGGUACUUGAGGAAUAAGCCACGGCUAAUUCCGUGCCAGCAGCCGCGGUAAUACGGGAGUGGCAAGCGUUAUCCGGAAUUAUUGGGCGUAAAGCGUCCGCAGGCGGCCUUUCAAGUCUGCUGUUAAAACGUGGAGCUCAACUCCAUCACGGCAGUGGAAACUGUUGGGCUUGAGUGUGGUAGGGGCAGAGGGAAUUCCCGGUGUAGCGGUGAAAUGCGUAGAUAUCGGGAAGAACACCAGUGGCGAAGGCGCUCUGCUGGGCCAUAACUGACGCUCAUGGACGAAAGCCAGGGGAGCG